CGGCCAGCGGCAACGUGGGAGAGUCGCGCGAGACUGUAAAUCUCGUCCUUUUAGGUGAGUAGGUUCGAAUCCUAUCUGGCUGACCA
This 86-nucleotide transfer RNA is filed under the name compost metagenome. RNAcentral describes it as "tRNA-Tyr". The record is from RNAcentral.